Molecule: ribosomal RNA, 478 nt
Filed under: uncultured bacterium
Lineage: Bacteria
Description: partial 16S ribosomal RNA
Rfam family: Bacterial small subunit ribosomal RNA
Source: RNAcentral
GACGAACGCUGGCGGCGUGCUUAACACAUGCAAGUCGAACGGUAAGGCCCUUCGGGGUACACGAGUGGCGAACGGGUGAGUAACACGUGGGUGAUCUGCCCUGCACUUCGGGAUAAGCCUGGGAAACUGGGUCUAAUACCGGAUAGGACCCUGGGAUGCAUGUCCUGGGGUGGAAAGCUUUUGCGGUGUGGGAUGGGCCCGCGGCCUAUCAGCUUGUUGGUGGGGUGAUGGCCUACCAAGGCGACGACGGGUAGCCGGCCUGAGAGGGUGACCGGCCAAACUGGGACUGAGAUACUGCCCAGACUCCUACGGGAGGCAGCAGUGGGGAAUAUUGCACAAUGGGCGCAAGCCUGAUGCAGCGACGCCGCGUGAGGGAUGACGGCCUUCGGGUUGUAAACCUCUUUCAGCACCGACGAAGCGCAAGUGACGGUAGGUGCAGAAGAAGGACCGGCCAACUACGUGCCAGCCGCCGCAGUAA